Molecule: ribosomal RNA, 301 nt
Filed under: uncultured bacterium
Lineage: Bacteria
Description: partial 16S ribosomal RNA
Rfam family: Bacterial small subunit ribosomal RNA
Source: RNAcentral
CAGUCGCCGCGGGAAUACGUAGGGUGCAAGCGUUAAUCGGAAUUACUGGGCGUAAAGCGUGCGCAGGCGGUUAUAUAAGACAGAUGUGAAAUCCCCGGGCUCAACCUGGGAACUGCAUUUGUGACUGUAUAGCUAGAGUACGGCAGAGGGGGAUGGAAUUCCGCGUGUAGCAGUGAAAUGCGUAGAUAUGCGGAGGAACACCGAUGGCGAAGGCAAUCCCCUGGGCCUGUACUGACGCUCAUGCACGAAAGCGUGGGGAGCAAACAGGAUUAGAUACCCCCGUGGUCCCUGUCUCUUAUAC